AUGAUAAUCAUGUUGAUUUGGAGGAUCUGGAACUUACGUACAGACAUGGUUCAUGGUAAAGAAGCUCCUCCACCUCAAACAUCUGUUGAUUUUCUUCAGAGUUACUUUAAUUCGUUGCGGCUGUCAAGAAUAUAUACUAUAGAGGAAAUGAUUAAGGGGAAAAUGGCAUGUGAAGAUUUACUUCCAUCUCCUGCGAUCAAAGUCUCACCGCUGCCCCCGCCAUGGCCACAACCCCCUGUAGAUCAUGUGGCCCUCUCAGUGGACGGAGCAUUUUCAAAGGCCGACGGGUCGGCGGCCGCCGGUAUGGUCCUACGGAGACAUGAUGGGAGUGUUAUUUUCGCAGCAUACAGGUUCUUAUUUAACUGUAAUGAUGCGUUGGAGGCCGAGAUUCACGCUUUGAUGCAAGGUAUGGCACUAGUGAAACAACACUCUGAAGGACCGAUCAUUGUGCAGUCCGAUUCCUCGACAACAUUGGCUUCUCUCAAAGGCGAUAAUAUGGAUCGCUCUGCGUAUGGUCAUCUAGUUGCUGAGAUAAAGUUUUUGAUGAUUGAUAGGGAGUUUAUUUCCCAGAAAAUUUCUCGUGAACAAAAUAAGGUAGCAGAUCGUUUGGCUAGUUAUAGUCGAUAUGAAUGUACUACUGCUGUAUGGCUACACCGUGGUUCUCCAUUUAUUGAGGCACUACUGCCACUGGACUGUAACCAUAUCAUUAUGGAAUAA
Molecule: ribosomal RNA, 717 nt
Filed under: Triticum aestivum (bread wheat)
Lineage: Eukaryota; Viridiplantae; Streptophyta; Magnoliopsida; Poales; Poaceae
Description: partial small subunit ribosomal RNA
Source: RNAcentral